Molecule: long non-coding RNA, 2424 nt
Filed under: Canis lupus familiaris (dog)
Lineage: Eukaryota; Metazoa; Chordata; Mammalia; Carnivora; Canidae
Description: lncRNA (ENSCAFG00000045378.2)
Source: RNAcentral
GCGCAGUGUCCUGGAAGCUUCUGCAGCUCCCCCGAGACGCUCUAGUUGCUACAGUGACCUCUCGGUGGAACCGCGUGUGGACUCUCCGCUGUGAGCUCCGCCCAGAGCCCGUCCCUGACGCCAGAGAUUCGUCAGACGCCCUCGGGUCCAGCGUGGUGCUGGUUGCUAUGGUGAUCGCGGCCACCGGCCCCGCCAGACAAGGUCGCGCAGCUCCUGGAGCCUUUGCAACCCCCGCGGGACACUCUGGAAGGAUGAGGUCCUCGCUGACAUCUUUGGGGCCGCCUGUGAGCCGGGACCGCAUCAUCACCAGCUUCCCUAAGUGGUACACCCCUGACGCCUGCCUGCAGCUCAAGGAGCACUUCCAUGGGCAGGUCAGCACCACCUGCCAGCGCAGGAACACAGGGACUGUGGGGCUCCGACUCUCCAAGGUGGUUGUUGUUGGCGAUCUCUACGUGGGCAAGACCAGCCUCAUCCACAGGUUUUGCAAGAAUGUCUUUGACCGUGACUACAAGGCCACCAUCGGGGUGGACUUUGAAAUCGAGCGCUUCGAGAUCGCUGGGAUUCCCUACAGCCUGCAGAUCUGGGACACCGCAGGGCAGGAGAAGUUCAAGUGCAUCGCAUCUGCCUACUACCGGGGUGCCCAGGUGAUCAUCACAGCCUUCGACCUCACUGACGUGCAGACUCUGGAGCACACCAGGCAGUGGCUGGAGGAUGCACUCAGGGAGAACGAGCCGGGCUCCUGCUUCGUGUUCCUCGUUGGAACGAAGAAGGACCUUCUGUCAGGGGCUGCAUGUAAGCAGGCAGAGGUGGAGGCUGUGCGCCUGGCCAACGAGAUGCAGGCUGAGUACUGGUCGGUGUCAGCGAAGACAGGGGAGAACGUGAAGGCGUUCUUCAGCCGUGUAGCUGCCCUGGCAUUCGAGCAGUCGGUUCUGCAAGACUUGGAGAGGAGGAGCAGCACCCGGGCCCAGGUCGGCGACGGAGACCUCAUCCGAAUGGAGGAGAGUCCACCCGAGACCCAGGAGAGCACGCCGUCCUCCAGCCUGGGUUGCUGUUAGCUGGGGCCUGCAUCAGAAGCCUCUACUCCCUGCACACACAUGGGCAGUGCCUCCCAUGACUGUGGAUGGGGUGACAUGAAGCCAUCCGUAGCUGCCCACCCACCAUGCUGAGCCCCAGAGCUCAGCAACUUCUCUUUAGCAGGUUGGGAGCCAGGAAAGGGUGGCACUGGCUGCCCAGGAGCCCCCCUUCACUGCCCCACUGGUGGGCGCACAGUGGUGACCGUCUGGAAGGCCAGUUCCACCCAGAUAGUCACCAGACAUUCCCCCCUGGCCUCGAGAGGCCUCAGAAGUGCAGACACGAGACACUUGUGUCCCACAGCCUGCAUCUCUCAGUCUUGGCACACAUUAGCUGCCCACACAGGCCCUCUGACCACUUUGCCGGGCUGGCCUCAGGAUCCUUCUCUUCUCAGUGGUCUAGGCAAGUCUUUUCUGUUAUUAGCAGGACUUGCAGUUCUCAGUCCCAGAGCCCCAGGCCUCACUGUCCACUGUCCCUCUGCCACAGACUUGUGGGAUCCCGGGUCAGCCUUGCCCCUCCGGAGGAGGAUGGACAAGAGGGUCUCUCAGGCCCCUUCUGGCCCAGGGGUCAGCUUUGGCUCCUCUUUGAUCCUUGUCCUGUUGGUCAGUGGGUGAGGAUGGGCAGAAAAGGCCAUCAUGCCCCUCUGGCCCACCUGGACAAUGAAUUUCCCCAGCUGCCCCUGGGGUACAGUACUGCUGCAUCCCUUGUGCAUGGCGCUGCCCUGCUGUUACUGGCAGUUGUCACGCAGACACUGUUGGGCUGGUAUCUGUGGUUGCCCCCACCGCCCCUCUCUCUGGUCUCCACAGGAAAGGGCCUGGAGAACAAGAAACUCUGCGUGCCUGCCUCUCAGGACCUUUGUGGUGGCCUCCUUGACUCUUUGGAGGACAUCGGAGGCCCUCCGGAGUCUGGCAAGCUCCUCAUCGACACCUCUCCAUCCUGCACAUCCAGGACAGGCAGGCACAACCCAGGCAUGCCCUCCCUAGUGCCCACUCUCUCUCUGCCCUCAGGUUGCUCUUCUAUGGGGGCUUUAACUACCCGCACCUGCCCCUGGCUGGGUGCCCACUCCUCCCCACCCAUCCCAUCCCACAAGCAGGUGGGCACAUCUGGGCAUAUCCUGCCUGCUUCUCAUAAAUGGCGAGCAUUUUGCCAACAGCUGUUCUGGUCAGUGCCCCGAACAGUACCCCAUACGGUGCUGGGCACACUGUGGGUGCCCGCUGCAUAUUCACUGGCUGGCAGCAAUUGCUAAAUGCUGGUUGGGGAAGGACACAUCUUUUUCUGUUCAGUCUCCCUUCACCACAUUUUAGCUGUUGUUUACAGAUAAAAACAAAAAACAAAACAAAACAAAAAAAAAAA